This 78-nucleotide small RNA is filed under the name Arabidopsis thaliana (thale cress). Its description in RNAcentral is "ATSL255440". Lineage: Eukaryota; Viridiplantae; Streptophyta; Magnoliopsida; Brassicales; Brassicaceae. The record is from RNAcentral.
ACCUUGUUCUCGUUUUACAUAUCGGACCACUUACGUACUACUACAUUUAUGAUAGGGGCCGGGGGAUGCGAUCAUAAA